Molecule: ribosomal RNA, 253 nt
Filed under: uncultured bacterium
Lineage: Bacteria
Description: partial 16S ribosomal RNA
Rfam family: Bacterial small subunit ribosomal RNA
Source: RNAcentral
UACGUAGGCAGCGAGCGUUGUUCGGAAUUACUGGGCGUAAAGAGUGUGUAGGCGGUGCUCUAAGUUCGGUGUGAAAUCUCCCGCUUAACUGGGAGGGUGCGCCGGAAACUGGAGUGCUCGAGCGUGGGAGAGGAAAGCGGAAUUCCUGGUGUAGCGGUGAAAUGCGUAGAUAUCAGGAGGAACACCUGCGGUGUAGACGGCUUUCUGGACCAUUGCUGACGCUGGAGACACGAAAGCGUGGGUAGCAAACAGG